GACGAACGCUGGCGGCGCGCCUAACACAUGCAAGUCGAACGGAGCUGAGAGAAGCUUGCUUUUCUUAGCUUAGUGGCGAACGGGUGAGUAACGCGUGAGUAACCUGCCCUGGAGUGGGGGACAACAGUUGGAAACGACUGCUAAUACCGCAUAAGCCCACGAUCCGGCAUCGGAUUGAGGGAAAAGGAUUUAUUCGCUUCAGGAUGGACUCGCGUCCAAUUAGCUAGUUGGUGAGGUAACGGCCCACCAAGGCGACGAUUGGUAGCCGGACUGAGAGGUUGAACGGCCCCAUUGGGACUGAGACACGGCCCAGACUCCUACGGGAGGCAGCAGUGGGGGAUAUUGCACAAUGGGGGAAACCCUGAUGCAGCGACGCCGCGGGGAGGAAGAAGGUUUUCGGAUUGUAAACUCCUGUCGUUAGGGACGAUAAUGACGGUACCUAACAAGAAAGCACCGGCUAACUACGU
Molecule: ribosomal RNA, 467 nt
Filed under: uncultured bacterium
Lineage: Bacteria
Description: partial 16S ribosomal RNA
Rfam family: Bacterial small subunit ribosomal RNA
Source: RNAcentral